UGAAGCCUUGUCCAAUUCACUGCCUGUCCUACCAUAGCAAGCACCAACCCAGAGGCUGCCGUAGAAACUGUCAUCCCUGGGCCUAUUUCCCCGAGCUUGGUCAGGCUUUACUCACAGACAACA
Mastomys coucha (southern multimammate mouse) is the source of this 123-nucleotide small nucleolar RNA. RefSeq annotates it as small nucleolar RNA SNORA5. NCBI's taxonomy places the organism in Eukaryota, Metazoa, Chordata, Mammalia, Rodentia, Muridae. The transcript has a single exon. The record is from RefSeq and is a predicted model, not a curated record.